GACGAACGCUGGCGACGUGCCUAAUACAUGCAAGUUGAGCGCUGAAGGUUGGUACUUGUACCGACUGGAUGAGCAGCGCACGGGUGAGUAACGCGUGGGGAAUCUGCCUUUGAGCGGGGGACAACAUUUGGAAACGAAUGCUAAUACCGCAUAAAAACUUUAAACACAAGUUUUAAGUUUGCAAGAUGCAAUUGCAUCACUAAAAGAUGAUCCCGCGUUGUAUUAGCUAGUUGGUAAGGUAAAGGCUCACCAAGGCGAUGAUACAUAGCCGACCUGAGAGGGUGAUCGGCCACAUUGGGACUGAGACACGGCCCAAACUCCUACGGGAGGCAGCAGUAGGGAAUCUUCGGCAAUGGACGAGAGUCUGACCGAGCAACGCCGCGUGAGUGAAGAAGGUUUUCGGAUCGUAAAACUCUGUUGGUAGAGAAGAACGCUGGUGAGAGUGGAAAGCUCAUCAAGUGACGGUAACUACCCAGAAAGGGACGGCUAACUACGUGCCAGCCGCCGCCGUAA
Molecule: ribosomal RNA, 513 nt
Filed under: uncultured bacterium
Lineage: Bacteria
Description: partial 16S ribosomal RNA
Rfam family: Bacterial small subunit ribosomal RNA
Source: RNAcentral